UUUGUGAUGAUAUAUUAUUUAAAGAGUAAUAUUUUCUGAAAUUUUUUUCAAAUAUUUUACCUAUAUUUGCGUCUACUAAAAGCAUGGAUCCAAAAUCCCAUCUACCGGCAUCAAUAAAUAACCCAUGUAUUAAAACUCCAUCUUCAGCCUUUUUGUGCUCUAUUUCAAUAUCUUCUUGAUCAAGAACAACUUUGGUAGCAAUAAAAUCCAACUUUAGGUGGUCUAUAGGAAUGUUAUACUUUCUAGCACAUGUUUGUAACAUGCCAGUUAAAAAUCCUUGCGGAAAGGAUAAACCCGAAAUCCAAAAAGAAAUUGGCUUUAUAUCAAUCAACCAAAUCUGUAAUGUAUAAUACUUACUAAACUAGUUAUUUUUUAUA
Long non-coding RNA from Bombus huntii, 377 nucleotides. RefSeq lists it as uncharacterized. Lineage: Eukaryota; Metazoa; Arthropoda; Insecta; Hymenoptera; Apidae. The transcript has 2 exons. The record is from RefSeq and is a predicted model, not a curated record.